RNAcentral lists this transfer RNA (71 nucleotides) under uncultured Eubacterium sp. It matches the Rfam family "tRNA". From Rfam's summary of the family: Transfer RNA (tRNA) molecules are approximately 80 nucleotides in length. Their secondary structure includes four short double-helical elements and three loops (D, anti-codon, and T loops). Lineage: Bacteria; Bacillati; Bacillota; Clostridia; Eubacteriales; Eubacteriaceae. The record is from RNAcentral.
GGGGCAUAGCUCAGUUGGGAGAGCACCUGCCUUGCAAGCAGGGGGUCGAGAGUUCGAAUCUCUCUGUCUCC